This is a long non-coding RNA of Sapajus apella (tufted capuchin), 683 nucleotides long. RefSeq lists it as uncharacterized. NCBI's taxonomy places the organism in Eukaryota, Metazoa, Chordata, Mammalia, Primates, Cebidae. The record is from RefSeq and is a predicted model, not a curated record. The transcript has 3 exons.
UGAAGGCUUUAUGCCUAGCAGUAGACCCACAGAGGUGGGAGACAAGCUUAAUGCCAGGGCCUACUGCUGCUUACAGCCUGGGGCAGUUUAUAGGCCUGUGCAGGAGGAGUCUGGUGGGGGGAUAGCCUGCUGCCUGGGAAAAUGCUGAUUAUGCAUUCACAGGCGAAGUUGUUCUAGCUGUUGUUCCGGCUGAAUGUGAUGUUCCUUGCACUUUUGUACUUUCUCCCAGCAGGAUAUGAUAAGAGGCAGGCUAUUUCUUAUGGCCCAAACCCCCCAUGGAAUGUCUCACUUUGACCAAGCUCUGAGAAAUGGUGAUGGGGUAGGCUUACAAAGUGGUGUUGUUUGGACUAACAUUCUUGCUUUCUAUUUUAAUAUAAAAGGAAAAGGGGGCAUUGUUGAUUAUCUGGCUGCUUCCUGCUGAAUAGGGGUGCUGUUAUCGGGGUUGGGGUUUUGAAGUAGUGGGUGUCCAACUUCAGAGUUGUUUUCCUGGAGGCACUGUUAUGGAACUUGGUGGAGGAGAAGAAUGGCAUCAGUGUGUUUCUGGGUGGUUGCCUGGACAAGGGAGUUCAGCCUUUGAGGGAUAAAGCAGGAUAUGAAGGUGAGUACACAUGGGCCAAGAAGUGUUUUAUGGAAACGGGAUUGUAACAUGUUUAGUUUAGAGGUUAUAAGGCAAAGGAGGCUGA